RNAcentral lists this ribosomal RNA (1346 nucleotides) under uncultured bacterium. Its description in RNAcentral is "bacterial SSU rRNA". It matches the Rfam family "Bacterial small subunit ribosomal RNA", at positions 28 to 1381 of the family's 1533-position model. The record is from RNAcentral.
GACGAACGCUGGCGGCGUGCUUAACACAUGCAAGUCGAACGGAAAGGCCCUGCUUUUGUGGGGUGCUCGAGUGGCGAACGGGUGAGUAACACGUGAGUAACCUGCCCUUGACUUUGGGAUAACUUCAGGGAACUGGGGCUAAUACCGGAUAGGAGCUCCUGCUGCAUGGUGGGGGUUGGAAAGUUUCGGCGGUUGGGGAUGGACUCGCGGCUUAUCAGCUUGUUGGUGGGGUAGUGGCUUACCAAGGCUUUGACGGGUAGCCGGCCUGAGAGGGUGACCGGCCACAUUGGGACUGAGAUACGGCCCAGACUCCUACGGGAGGCAGCAGUGGGGAAUAUUGCACAAUGGGCGGAAGCCUGAUGCAGCAACGCCGCGUGCGGGAUGACGGCCUUCGGGUUGUAAACCGCUUUCGCCUGUGACGAAGCGUGAGUGACGGUAAUGGGUAAAGAAGCACCGGCUAACUACGUGCCAGCAGCCGCGGUGAUACGUAGGGUGCGAGCGUUGUCCGGAUUUAUUGGGCGUAAAGGGCUCGUAGGUGGUUGAUCGCGUCGGAAGUGUAAUCUUGGGGCUUAACCCUGAGCGUGCUUUCGAUACGGGUUGACUUGAGGAAGGUAGGGGAGAAUGGAAUUCCUGGUGGAGCGGUGGAAUGCGCAGAUAUCAGGAGGAACACCAGUGGCGAAGGCGGUUCUCUGGGCCUUUCCUGACGCUGAGGAGCGAAAGCGUGGGGAGCGAACAGGCUUAGAUACCCUGGUAGUCCACGCUGUAAACGGUGGGUACUAGGUGUGGGGUCCAUUCCACGGGUUCCGUGCCGUAGCUAACGCUUUAAGUACCCCGCCUGGGGAGUACGGCCGCAAGGCUAAAACUCAAAGGAAUUGACGGGGCCCCGCACAAGCGGCGGAGCAUGCGGAUUAAUUCGAUGCAACGCGUAGAACCUUACCUGGGUUUGACAUGGAUCGGGAGCGCUCAGAGAUGGGUGUGCCUCUUUUGGGGUCGGUUCACAGGUGGUGCAUGGCUGUCGUCAGCUCGUGUCGUGAGAUGUUGGGUUAAGUCCCGCAACGAGCGCAACCCUUGUUCACUGUUGCCAGCACGUUAUGGUGGGGACUCAGUGGAGACCGCCGGGGUCAACUCGGGGGAAGGUGGGGAUGACGUCAAGUCAUCAUGCCCCUUAUGUCCAGGGCUUCACGCAUGCUACAAUGGCUGGUACAGAGAGUGGCGAGCCUGUGAGGGUGAGCGAAUCUCGGAAAGCCGGUCUCAGUUCGGAUUGGGGUCUGCAACUCGACCUCAUGAAGUCGGAGUCGCUAGUAAUCGCAGAUCAGCAACGCUGCGGUGAAUACGUUCCCGGGGCU